UACGUAGGGUGCAAGCGUUGUCCGGAAUUAUUGGGCGUAAAGAGCUCGUAGGCGGUUUUGUCGCGUCUGCUGUGAAAACCCGAGGCUCAACCUCGGGCCUGCAGUGGGUACGGGCAGACUAGAGUGGCGGUAGGGGAGAUUGGAAUUCCUGGUGUAGCGGUGGAAUGCGCAGAUAUCAGGAGGAACACCAAUGGCGAAGGCAGAUCUCUGGGCCGUAACUGACGCUGAGGAGCGAAAGCAUGGGGAGCGAACAGG
This 255-nucleotide ribosomal RNA is filed under the name uncultured bacterium. RNAcentral describes it as "partial 16S ribosomal RNA". It matches the Rfam family "Bacterial small subunit ribosomal RNA", at positions 524 to 776 of the family's 1533-position model. The record is from RNAcentral.